Molecule: ribosomal RNA, 584 nt
Filed under: Hesperomyces virescens
Lineage: Eukaryota; Fungi; Ascomycota; Laboulbeniomycetes; Laboulbeniales; Laboulbeniaceae
Description: eukaryotic LSU rRNA
Rfam family: Eukaryotic large subunit ribosomal RNA
Source: RNAcentral
ACAGGGAUUGCCUCAGUAUCGGCGAGUGAAGCGGCAAAAGCUUAAAUUUGAAAUCUGGCACUAGCCCGAGUUGUAAUUUGUAGAGGAUGCACAUCUUCAGCAAGAGGCUUUGAGUCUAAGUUCCCUGGAACGGGAUAUCAUGGAGGGUGAGAAUCCCGUACAUGGUUCAUUGUCUCUUGCAUCAUGAAGCUCCUUCAACGAGUCGAGUUGUUUGGGAAUGCAGCUCAAAACAGGAGGUAAAUUCCUUCCAAAGCUAAAUAUUAGCCAGAGACCGAUAGCGAACAAGUAGAGUGAUCGAAAGAUGAAAAGCACUUUGGAAAGAGAGUUAAAAAGUAUGUGAAAUUGUUGAAAGGGAAGCGCUUGCAACCAGAUUUUUCACUGUAGGUUAGAUCAUCUAGGCUCUUUGGCCUAGUGUACUCUACCUAUAUUGUGUGCCAGCAUCGGUUUGUUAGUCGAGAGAAAAAGGUAGUGUGUUGUCAAUUCCUCCGGGUAUUUGGCAUGCAUUUACAGGUACAUCUUGAACCCAGACCGAGGACAGCGCUUUUGGCAUGGAUGCUGGUGUAAUGGUUGUAAGCGGCCCGUCU